AUCACAUGAUGACCUAAAAUUUAUGGUAAAUUAGAAGAAGGAAGUUAAAACAUGGCACAAGCUGCGAAAGAAACAUGCCUUUGUUCAAGGGCAUCUGCAGAAUAUUUCUGUAAAGAAUGUGAACAAUAUUUUUGUGACACUUGUCGAAUAUCACACAAGAGAGCAAAAGUCAGUAAAAAUCAUCAUUUAGUGGAGACACUCGGAGCAACAGGUAAACAUUGUGCAGUGUAUCUACAGUAUACUGACAAAUGUGCUAAUCUUCAUUGCAGUCAGGUAUUUUUUUAUGAUUCGAAGACGCGAGUCACAUAAGAGCUAGUACGAGGUUUUCCUGAAUUAAGUUGUAGGCCAAGAUUUUUUUUAAAUAACUUACGGCUAUACUUUGAAGUUCAACAACAAUAUAGAGAGCUGCAAAAUUGUACCACUGGUAAGGUAAAAAAUAUUUUAGAAAACCGAACAUUCCUAUGAUUUGGUGUGUAACCAUUAUACUUAAUUUUCAGGUGCCGUAGUAAAGAUGUUUAAAAAUAAAAUGCUUUCAAUUUUCUUUUGUCGCAAAAUCAAGUGUUCGUUCCAAUAUGUGAGCUCGGGUACAAAACACUUUUAUAACUAUCUGUGAUAUUUAUUCCAAGUUGUAUUAAUAUUUUGAUCUAAAAUAUGACACUAGUACAACUCCGACACAUUUCAGAAAGAUUCGAUCAACAUCAUGAAUCAUCCAAGGAUGACAUCAUCAACAUAUCGGGACGUUAAUUUCAAAUAAAAUUGAGAAUGGAAAUGGUGAAUGUGUCAAAGAUACAACAACCCGACCAUAGAAGAACAGACAACAGCAGAAGGUCACCAACAGGUCUUCAAUGCAGCGAAAAAUUCCUGCACCGGGAGGCGUCUUUCAGCUGGCCCCUAAACAAAUAUAUACCAGUUCAGUGAUAAUGAACGCCAUACUAAACUCCAAAUAGUACACAAGAAACUUAAAUUAAAAAUAAUACAAGACUAACAAAGGCCAGCGGCUCCUGACUUGGGACAGGCGCAAAAAUGCGGCGGGGUAAAACAUGUUUCUGAGAUCUCAAUCCUCCCCCUAUACCUCUAGCCAAUGUAGAAAAGUAAAAGCAUAACAAUACGCACAUUAAAAUUCAGUGCAAGAGAAGUCCGAGUCUGAUGUCAGAAGAUGUAACCAAAAAAUUCACACAAAAUGACAAUAAUACAUAAAUAACAACAGACUACUACCAGUUAACUGACAUGCCAGCUCCAGACUUCAAUUAAACUGAUUGAAAGAUUAUGUCUUCAUCAUAUAAAUAUCAGGCACAAUCCUUCCCGUUAGGGGUUUAGUAUCAUACCAUCAUAACAUAUAUGAGAAGAACAUAACCCGUGUCAUGCCAACAACUGGUUUUUAAAUGAAUGUGUUUAGUUCCGAUGCAAAGACCCUAUAAGUGAAUCAAUAUUAACGCCAAAAUAUGCAAUCUUUAAUGACCUGACAACAGUAUCGUAACUAUAUCCCUUCUUAAUAAGUCUAUUUAAAGGUUUUAUUAGCUUCUGAACUCAUUUUACGGAACAAUCGUCUUCGCUAAUUGACAUAAUUAUAACUGAUAAUUCCGAUUUUGUACCGUAUUGUGGAGUCGGGCCACCACUUUUAGACCAAAUAAGAUAUCACUGUCCAGUUAUGGGGUUUAUUAAUGCACAAAAACCUGCUUGUUUGUCUUUUAAAAGAAAAAUAUGGUUAUAUAAGCAAGGUGAUUUUGAUGAAUAUAGACGCAUAUUGACCAAAACCAACUGGGAUAGAAUAUUUGCUCUAAAUGAUGUUGAUAAAAUUAAUUCAGAAAUUUCAAAUCGUAUCCUUGAUGCAGCUGAAAUUUCCAUACCCAAUAGAAUCGUAACUAUUCGGAAAUCUGACCCUGCUUGGUUAAAUAACGAUUUAAGAAAACUCAUAAGAAAGAAAAACCGUUUACACUCGAAAGCUAAGCGGUUUAACCGACCCGCCGAUUGGAAUAAAUUUAGACAAAAUAGAAAUAAAGUGACCACUUCAAUAAGACAAGCUCGCGAACAAUAUCAAAAUAAUCUUAUACAAAAAUUGUCAAAUAGUAACUAUCGCAAGAACUUGGUGGAAAACUUGUAACCAAAUUUUCUGGUAUCAAACCUACUCACUCGGGUAUUCCUCCCCUGCUUAAGAAUGAUAACUUGAUUUUUAAUGAUAUCGAUAAAGCGAAUGAAUUUAAUAACUUUUUUGCCAUGCAGACAAACAUAGAUGAUACCGAAGCUGUUAUUCCUGACUUAACCGUUCCAGACUAUACACUAAGUGACAUUACACUUAAAGAUAGUGAGGUCGAAGAUGUUUUAAAGAUUUUAAAUCCAAAUAAGGCCUCAGGUCCAGACUUGAUAAGUCCAAUUUUAUUAAAAGAGGCUGUAUCACAGCUAAAAUUCCACUUUGUGUAAACUAUUUAAUUUAUAUCUUUAUCUAAAGCUAUAUUUCCGGCAGAUUGGAAAAAAGCAAAUGUAACUCCUGUUUUUAAGAGUAACAAUUGUAAUGAGGUAAAAAAUUACAGACCAAUCUCGCUUGUUAAGUAUUAUCAAAGUGCAUGGAGCGAUGUGUCUAUAAACAUGUACACAACUUUCUUAAUUGAAAAUAGGAUAAUCACCCCUAAUCAAUCGGGUUUUACAAAAGGCGAUUCUGCCAUAAAUCAACUUAUUGAUAUUUCUAACUACUUUGGUAGAGCUUUAGAUAACGGAAAAGAGAUUAGGGUGUUUUUUUGUGACAUCAGCAAAGCUUUUGAUCGGGUUUGGCAUAAAGGGCUAUUAUCAAAACUUAAACAAUAUGGAAUUUCUGGAAAUUUACUUAAUUGGUUUUGUGAUUAUCUAUCUGAGAGGAGUCAACGGGUGGUCUUAAAUGGAAGCAAUUCAACAUGGAGACAGAUAAAUGCAGGUGUCCCACAGGCUCAAUUUUAGGUCCGCUACUUUUUCUUAUCUUUAUUAAUGAUAUAGUAUCUGAUAUUAAAGCUACUAUCAAAUUAUUUGCAGACGACACUAGUAUUUAUUUGACAGUAGACACCCCUGAAAAUACUGCUGAAAUUCUUAAUGGAGAUCUGAAAAAAAUUCAUAUGUGGUCUUCUAAGUGGCUUGUAAACUUUAACUCACAAAAAAACAGAAACCAUGAUUAUUUCAAGAAAAUCAAUAAAACCUAGUCAUCCGAUCUUAAAAAUGAAUGACACUGAUCUUCAAGAAGUUUCUACUCAUAAACAUUUAGGUAUUAUUUUUUCAAAUAAUGGAUUAUGGAAUAUUCACAUUGAAUAUAUAGUUAAACGUGCAUACAAUAGAAUAAAUAUCCUUAGGAAGAUGCGUUUUGUACUGAAUAGGUUCACUUUAGAAAAAAUGUAUUUUUCAUACAUUCGACCAAUAUUAGAGUACGGGGAUGUCAUUUGGGAUAAUCAAACACAAUACUUGAUAAAUAAAGUGGAAAAUGUUCAAAUUGAAGCUAUGAGAAUUGUAACAGGUGGGAAUAAAUUAACUUCGAUACAGAUGCUUUAUAAGGAAACGGGUUGGGAAACACUUUCAGAAAGAAGGGAAAAACACAAGCUCACUAUGUUUUAUAAAAUGGUGAAUAAGGAAACUCCAUAUUAUUUACAAAACUUGGUACCAAAUCAAAUAGUAAAUUUACAUAACCAUUUCACUCGUCAGACUCAAAAUACUUCGGAAAUUCGUACAAGAACCAAUCUAUACUCCGAUUAUUUCCUUCCUUCGUCUAUUAAAUUGUGGAAUAAGUUACCAGACCAAACGAGAAAUUCUACGUCUUUAAGCAUUUUUAAAAGUCGUAUAAAAAACCCAAAUAAUAAAUGCCCAAAUGUUUACUACACUGGAACAAGAAUGGGUCAAGUAUUACAUGCCAGAUUAAGGAUGAAUAGUAGUUCUCUAAAUGAACAUUUGUUCAAGCGAAAUCUAGUAGAUUCUUCAAACUGCUCGUGUGGUUUGAUCGAGCCUACAGCUCAUUUCUUAUUGCAUUGUAAAAAAUAUGACGAAUUGCGUAAUGACAUUAUUUUCUCAAUUAAUUAUCCAGUCACACUAAACACGAAUUUACUUUUAUUUGGAUCACAAGCUCUAAAUUUAGACCAAAAUAAAGAUAUUUUUGGAAAAGUACAAAAAUUCCUACUAAAGUGCAAGAGAUUUACAAGUUAAUUUGUUAUUCACUAUUCUCACUAAGUUGCAUUUCAUCUAAACAUGUGUGUAGUAUUUCGGUGUAGUUUUCUUUUUUCUUUUUUUUACUUUUUUUUCUUCUUUUGUUGUAUUUAUUUUCAUUAUUUUAAAAUGAUUUUUUUUCUCCUUUCUUUUUUGUUAUAUAGUUACUUAGUUUAUACUUGUUCCAUAUCAUAGUAACAGUGCAUGCUAUAUUUAUGUAAUAGUUAACUUGAGUUGGUAUUUCAAGGAAACGGAUUAAUAUAAGCUAUAUUGCUUGUUUCCGAAUCCUAUUAUUAUUGUGUAUUUUGUAUGAUGAUAUAUUUGUAUUGAUGAUGAAUAAAUAUGUUUAAACAAUUAGCUUCUGAGGUGAAUACUGAUAUUUUUGUGCUUUAUAAAGAAUAUUUCCAUAAAAAAUUGGAUGUGAAAUACCUGAACGUAUAAGAAGUCUGCAUGUUGAGUUAUAUUUACGAAUGAUGGUCUUAUACCGAUGAUAAAAUUUAGUAAAUGCCUUUGUUUUUUUAAUUCAAAACAACUUGAUUAUUUAUUUUUAUUUUGUAGAAAAUGAAUUGCAGUCGG
RNAcentral lists this long non-coding RNA (4728 nucleotides) under Mytilus galloprovincialis (Mediterranean mussel). Lineage: Eukaryota; Metazoa; Mollusca; Bivalvia; Mytilida; Mytilidae. The record is from RNAcentral.